GAUGAACGCUAGCGAUAGGCUUAACACAUGCAAGUCGAGGGGCAGCAUGGUCUUAGCUUGCUAAGGCUGAUGGCGACCGGCGCACGGGUGCGUAACGCGUAUGCAACUUGCCUCACAGAGGGGUAUAACCCGUCGAAAGACGGACUAAUACCGCGUACACUCUAUGUUGGGCAUCCAAUGUAGAGGAAAUGAAUUUCGCUGUGAGAUAGGCAUGCGUCCCAUUAGCUAGUUGGUGAGGUAACGGCUCACCAGGGCGACGAUGGGUAGGGGAACGGAGAGGGUGCGCCCCGACAGGGGGACUGGGAAACGGGCGAGAGUCCUACGGGACGCAGCAGUGAGGAAUACAGGUCAAUGGACGAGUGCCUGAUCCAGCCAAGUCGGGUGAAGGAUGGCUGUGUUAGGGAUGGUAACCUUCUGGUAGACGAGAAUAACAGGAGUCACGGGUGGGUCACUGAAUGUACCGGAUGAAUAAGCAUCGGCUAACUACGUG
This 490-nucleotide ribosomal RNA is filed under the name uncultured bacterium. RNAcentral describes it as "partial 16S ribosomal RNA". It matches the Rfam family "Bacterial small subunit ribosomal RNA", at positions 28 to 507 of the family's 1533-position model. The record is from RNAcentral.